Molecule: non-coding RNA, 21 nt
Filed under: Arabidopsis thaliana (thale cress)
Lineage: Eukaryota; Viridiplantae; Streptophyta; Magnoliopsida; Brassicales; Brassicaceae
Source: RNAcentral
AUCAUAGAUGGUGGUGUUGUG